ACGCUCGACACCUACGGGAGGCGGCAGUGGGGAAUAUUGCACAAUGGGGGAAACCCUGAUGCAGCGACGCCGCGUGGAGGAAGAAGGUCUUCGGAUUGUAAACUCCUGUUGUUGGGGAAAAAGAGGAUGGUACCCAACAAGGAAGUGACGGCUAACUACGUGCCNGCAGCCGCGGUAAUCUGAGCGGGCUGGCAAGGC
Molecule: ribosomal RNA, 198 nt
Filed under: uncultured bacterium
Lineage: Bacteria
Description: partial 16S ribosomal RNA
Rfam family: Bacterial small subunit ribosomal RNA
Source: RNAcentral